Molecule: non-coding RNA, 72 nt
Organism: Cordylochernes scorpioides
Lineage: Eukaryota; Metazoa; Arthropoda; Arachnida; Pseudoscorpiones; Chernetidae
Source: the annotation of a GenBank genome assembly
UCCCACCUGGUGUAGUGGAUAGGAUAUCUAGCUCUCACCCAGAAGCCACGGGUUCGAUUUUCGGUGUGGGAA